This is a non-coding RNA of Cinara cedri, 394 nucleotides long. The record is from the annotation of a GenBank genome assembly. NCBI's taxonomy places the organism in Eukaryota, Metazoa, Arthropoda, Insecta, Hemiptera, Aphididae.
UUUUUAUCACUUUGCUCUGGAAUAGACUAUAGUACCUUUUCUAAGGUAAUUUUAAUUACCUCGAUGCAUUUGGGAGGUAAUUUUUUGAUUUUCCGAGGGGUUUUCAAAACAAAGAGAAAACCCGAAAGAAAAUAACUAAGUAAAACGGCAAAUAUUUACAGCAUGCCGUAGCGUCAACGAUAUCAUUGUUUUUAUUAUGUUUACAAUGAUGUUUUUAACCAUCAGAAAUACAGAAUGAUUUUUUACCAUAGAUCAGCAAUUUACUGGGAGGAUUUUAAGUGAAUUUGAUUUCUGUGUUUUUUUAAUCAUUAUGGAAUCGGUUAAGCUUUAUUUUAAAACAAUUUGUCUUUUUUACCUACUCCAUAUACUUUAAAUAAGUAAAUACUUUUGUUUU